GCUGGGUUUGGUGGCACACUCUUGUAAUCCCAGCUACUCCAGAGGCUGAAGCAGGACCCCAGGAGUUCUGGCCUGUAGUGCAGUAUGCCUAGCUGCUUUCCACAUUAACUUCAUCAUCAAUAUGACGAUCUCUGGGAGCAGAAUGGAGGGCUGCCUAAGGUGGGGUGAACUGUCCCAGAAACAGCAGGUUAAAACUCAUGCACUGAUCAAUAGUGGGAUUGCGCCUAUGAAUAGACACUGCUCUCCAGCCUAGGCAGCAUAGCA
RNAcentral lists this signal recognition particle RNA (264 nucleotides) under Saimiri boliviensis boliviensis (Bolivian squirrel monkey). RNAcentral's name for it is "Metazoan signal recognition particle RNA (ENSSBOG00000013669.1)". It matches the Rfam family "Metazoan signal recognition particle RNA". Rfam says of the family: The signal recognition particle (SRP) is a universally conserved ribonucleoprotein. It is involved in the co-translational targeting of proteins to membranes. The eukaryotic SRP consists of a 300-nucleotide 7S RNA and six proteins: SRPs 72, 68, 54, 19, 14, and 9. Lineage: Eukaryota; Metazoa; Chordata; Mammalia; Primates; Cebidae. The record is from RNAcentral.